ACGAACGCUGGCGGCGUGCUUAACACAUGCCAGUCGAACGGAAAGGCCCUGCUUUUGUGGGGUGCUCGAGUGGCGAACGGGUGAGUAACACGUGGGUAACCUGCCCUUGACUUUGGGAUAACUUCAGGAAACUGGGGCUAAUACCGGAUAGGAGCUCCUGCUGCAUGGUGGGGGUUGGAAAGUUUCGGCGGUUGGGGAUGGACUCGCGGCUUAUCAGCUUGUUGGUGGGGUAGUGGCUUACCAAGGCUUUGACGGGUAGCCGGCCUGAGAGGGUGACCGGCCACAUUGGGACUGAGAUACGGCCCAGACUCCUACGGGAGGCAGCAGUGGGGAAUAUUGCACAAUGGGCGGAAGCCUGAUGCAGCAACGCCGCGUGCGGGAUGACGGCCUUCGGGUUGUAAACCGCUUUCGCCUGUGACGAAGCGUGAGUGACGGUAAUGGGUAAAGAAGCACCGGCUAACUACGUG
Molecule: ribosomal RNA, 467 nt
Filed under: uncultured bacterium
Lineage: Bacteria
Description: partial 16S ribosomal RNA
Rfam family: Bacterial small subunit ribosomal RNA
Source: RNAcentral